AAUUCGAUUGAGUUUGAUCAUGGCUCAGGAUGAACGCUGGCGGCGUGCCUAAUGCAUGUAAGUCGCACGCGCUGGCCUUCGGGUCAGCGAGUGGCGGACGGCUGAGGAACACGUGGGUGAUCUGCCCCGGGGUGGGGGACAACGCCGCGAAAGCGGUGCUAAUCCCGCAUACGAUCCGCGAGGAUGAAAGCCGUUUCGACGGCGCCCUGGGAGGAGCCUGCGGCCCAUCAGGUAGUUGGCGGGGUAAUGGCCCACCAAGCCGGUGACGGGUCCCUGGUCUGAGAGGACGACCAGGCAGACUGGGACUGAGACACGGCCCAGACUCCUACGGGAGGCAGCAGCAAGGAAUUUUCCCCAUUGGGCGCAAGCCUGAGGGAGCAACGCCGCGUGGAGGACGACGGCCUUCGGGUUGUAAACUCCUUUUUCGGGGGACGAUACUGACGGUACCCUGGGAAUAAGCCCCGGCUAACUCCGUGCCAGCAGCCGCGGUAAUACGGAGGGGGCAAGCGUUGUCCGGACUUACUGGGCGUAUAGGGUGCGUAGGCGGCCCGGUGCGUCGGUGCUGAAAGCGCCCAGCUUAACUGGGCGAGGCGUGCCGAUACGACUGGGCUGGAGCGGCAGCGAGGGUGGCGGAACUCCUGGUGUAGUGGUGAAAUGCGUAGAGAUCAGGAAGAACACCCGUGGCGCAAGCGGCCACCUGGCUGCCGGCUGACGCUGAGGCACGAGAGCGUGGGGAGCAAA
This 741-nucleotide ribosomal RNA is filed under the name uncultured bacterium. RNAcentral describes it as "bacterial SSU rRNA". It matches the Rfam family "Bacterial small subunit ribosomal RNA", at positions 1 to 772 of the family's 1533-position model. The record is from RNAcentral.